Molecule: transfer RNA, 63 nt
Filed under: Gigantometra gigas
Lineage: Eukaryota; Metazoa; Arthropoda; Insecta; Hemiptera; Gerridae
Description: tRNA-His
Source: RNAcentral
GUUUGAAUAGUUUAAUUAGAAUAGUAAUUUGUGGUGUUACAGGUAUAUUUUAUAUUUCAAACC